This 403-nucleotide ribosomal RNA is filed under the name Verrucomicrobiota bacterium. Its description in RNAcentral is "Verrucomicrobia bacterium partial 16S ribosomal RNA". It matches the Rfam family "Bacterial small subunit ribosomal RNA", at positions 355 to 776 of the family's 1533-position model. Lineage: Bacteria; Pseudomonadati; Verrucomicrobiota. The record is from RNAcentral.
UGGGGAAUAUUGCACAAUGGGGGAAACCCUGAUGCAGCGACGCCGCGUGAGCGAAGAAGGUUUUCGAAUCGUAAAGCUCUGUCCUAUGAGAAGAUAAUGACGGUAUCAUAGGAGGAAGCCCCGGCGAAAUACGGGCCAGCAGCCGCGGUAAUACGUAUGGGGCGAGCGUUGUCCGGAAUUAUUGGGCGUAAAGGGUACGUAGGCGGUCUAUUAAGUCAGGUGUGAAAGCGUGAGGCUUAACCUCAUUAAGCACUUGAAACUGAUAGACUUGAGUGAAGGAGAGGAAAGUGGAAUUCCUAGUGUAGCGGUGAAAUGCGUAGAUAUUAGGAGGAAUACCGGUGGCGAAGGCGACUUUCUGGACUUUUACUGACGCUCAGGUACGAAAGCGUGGGGAGCAAACAGG